CAACCCUCAAGCUCAGCUUGGUAUUGGGUGUCACCUGGCAAUGGUGUACCUUAAAAUCAGUGGCGGUGCCAUCUGGCUUUCAAGUGUAGUAAUUCUCUCGCUUUGGAGGUCUAGAUAUGUGCUUGCCAUCAACCCCUAAUUUUUCAAAGG
Molecule: unclassified non-coding RNA, 150 nt
Filed under: uncultured Helotiales
Lineage: Eukaryota; Fungi; Ascomycota; Leotiomycetes; Helotiales
Description: sequence contains ITS2
Source: RNAcentral